UAGACCGCCUGGGGAGUACGGCCGCAAGGUUAAAACUCAAAUGAAUUGACGGGGGCCCGCACAAGCGGUGGAGCAUGUGGUUUAAUUCGAUGCAACGCGAAGAACCUUACCUGGUCUUGACAUCCACAGAACUUUCCAGAGAUGGAUUGGUGCCUUCGGGAACUGUGAGACAGGUGCUGCAUGGCUGUCGUCAGCUCGUGUUGUGAAAUGUUGGGUUAAGUCCCGCAACGAGCGCAACCCUUAUCCUUUGUUGCCAGCGAUUAGGUCGGGAACUCAAAGGAGACUGCCAGUGAUAAACUGGAGGAAGGUGGGGAUGACGUCAAGUCAUCAUGGCCCUUACGACCAGGGCUACACACGUGCUACAAUGGCAUAUACAAAGAGAAGCGACCUCGCGAGAGCAAGCGGACCUCAUAAAGUAUGUCGUAGUCCGGAUUGGAGUCUGCAACUCGACUCCAUGAAGUCGGAAUCGCUAGUAAUCGUGGAUCAGAAUGCCACGGUGAAUACGUUCCCGGGCCUUGUACACACCGCCCGUCACACCAUGGGAGUGGGUUGCAAAAGAAGUAGGUAGCUUAACCUUCGGGAGGGCGCUUACCACUUUGUGAUUCAUGACUGGGGUGAAGUCGUAACAAGGUAACCGUAGGGGAACCUGCGGUUGGAUCACCUCCUUACCUUAAAGAA
This 678-nucleotide ribosomal RNA is filed under the name Salmonella enterica subsp. enterica serovar Oranienburg. RNAcentral's name for it is "bacterial SSU rRNA". It matches the Rfam family "Bacterial small subunit ribosomal RNA", at positions 865 to 1533 of the family's 1533-position model. The record is from RNAcentral. Lineage: Bacteria; Pseudomonadati; Pseudomonadota; Gammaproteobacteria; Enterobacterales; Enterobacteriaceae.